RNAcentral lists this long non-coding RNA (199 nucleotides) under Physcomitrium patens. RNAcentral describes it as "long non-coding RNA (PPAT_LNC006834)". Lineage: Eukaryota; Viridiplantae; Streptophyta; Bryopsida; Funariales; Funariaceae. The record is from RNAcentral.
AGUUCAGUGGAGAAGAAUUGUAAUCGAAGGAAUUAUCUCAAUCAGAUUCUAUGGAUUGGAAGUUGUUCAUUCUAGGAUUUGGGUUGUGCUUGUGUGUUCAUGAAUUACACAGGGUACUGAAAUUGAUGUCGUGGUUGUUAUCGUAUUGAUAUGAGAGAGUGGACAGUAGGAGAAAAAGUUAAGUGUUCUUUGGUAUUGU